UUUAAAUCUAAAAGAAAAAGUGUCUUGUUCAACAAAUAAUGGAUACAUAAAUAUUUUAAUGAUAGAGGACUAGAAAGAUGGAAAGAGACUCGUAAUAAUUAAAAGAUAAAGGAUGACGAAAGAUCAUGGAAUUCAUGGGCAGACAGAAAAUUGUGGUCAGCUGUGAAAUCAGGUAGAUCCCUUGAAAUGAUCGAUCUCUUAAUGUUCAAACUCUAAAUCGAUACUUGUGCACAUUAAAGAUACUACACUUAUAUCCCCUUUGAAUCAGUACUAUACUUCAGGUUUUGCAAACGACCAGUCACAAGAAUUGAUGAAAAGUGGUUAGUCGUAGUUUUUAUUAGUUAUCGUGGUCAAGACUGAACACAUUAAAAGUCAAUAUCAGCGACUGGCAAGCAAAAGACUUGAAUGUGUUCCCAAUCUUUGUUUUUUUAGACUAUUCUCCUUCCAACAACUCUGAUCUUUGUAACUGCAUGCAUAUGUUGCAGCAAACAAAAAAUACAGAACCUUUAGCUUCCUCAUUCUUAACACUCUUUAAGGCCUAAAUUAUCUUCAUACAAUCAGUUUCCAAGAGGCAGACGUCUAAAGUUCUUGGUCUUGUUGUGAAGUGACAAGGGCAGGCCAGACGAUCUAAAUAAUGCAGUUUUCAGUACAUCAUAUUUGAACUAUGAGGCAUAAGCAUGAUCAUGGACACAGACACAAUAUAUACACUUGAGAUAUAAAAAGAACUUGUAAAUUUUGGACAAUCUAUGACUAUCAUGCAGUCUUGUAUAUGACACACAUCAUCUAUUCUCGUGAGUAGAACCAUUCAAAAGACGUUGGAAGUCGUAGAUACAUACAUACAUACAUGUUGACAAGGAGAUUUUUAAUCACAUGCUUCAUCAACAAAAAUACUUGGAGAUGAUUCUAUGUCCUAUAUAUGUUUUGAAGUCCAGUGUACCAGAAAUGAUACAAAAGUCAUAAGCAAGGAUUGAAGUUUUGUGUAUACCACCCAACGUCCAGGCGGACAAUACCAGUCAAUAGAGGAUCCAGAAUGCCUUGUAUCAAGCAGGUACACAACAAAAAUGUUAUAUUCUGGGUUAGACACUGCUCUGCUGGUCACAAAGUCAAUUAUUGGUUUGCAGUUGAUCAUUACUUGAAACCUGAGACAUCAAUGAACCCUCCUUUCCUUCUUUAUUCAUAUUAUUAUUUUCCCUCUUUUUUCAUAUUUUCUUAUAUUCCACACUGUGACAUCUAUGAGAUUGAAAUUAUUGGUGCUACUUAUAUUCCACACCGUGACAACAUUUAAAAGUGACAUUACAGUAUACAAUAAUAUAAAUCCGACAUUAAAAUGAUGCUUUAGAAAAAAAAGUUAAUUACAAAUCACCCAUUGUAGUUAGACCUCUUUAACAUUUCAAUCCCUAGAUUUAAACAAUUUGUAUUCACAUUUUGAUGAUUAUAAAAGUGAACCAUUUAAUCUCAUUUAUCCUAACAUCGUCAAUUUUAUCAAUAGAAGAUGCAGCACAUAUAAAAUUAUUGAUUUUGUCAAUGGCAAAAUGAUCAUUUCAAGUGGAUGAAAAAACGAGGCCAUUAGCUUAGGCAACGAAUAGAGUCGGUGCUGCCACUUGCAGAGGACCAUGAGACCGAGCACUACAUCCUCUUGGCAACAGAGGCUAAGGGCGACGAGAGGGUGGAGGUGUCGUGCUCCCACGUAGCCAAAGAAGGGGAGGCUUUGGGCGAGCUCGUCCCUCGCGAUUGCGGUGUUAACUCCUAGUUGCCGUUGGUGAGAAAAGCUGCAGUGGAGUGGGUCGCGUGCACCGCGACUACCUAUGCCUUCGCUCUAACGGUGAUACUCAUUGUUAACUACCUCGACCGGUGCUUCCUCUCCUGCAUCAUUGGCGAUGGGCUGCUCUGGCUCCGGGAUGACAAGCCAUGGAUGGGCCGAUUUGUGGCCAUGGCGUGCCUUUCAUUAGUGGCAAGGGUGGAGGAGACACACGACCCUUUCCAAUGAAGGUGGAGGCUUCUGAGCAAAGGAGGCCAAGUUGCUCGCCAAUAGUCGUCAAUCCAGUAGCUGCUUUCCUCGCGAAGCCAUUUCCACUGUUACCUCCACCUCUGGGAAAGUGGGCAAGGAGGUCGUGGACAAGGCGACGAGGCCGUCUUCGAGGAUUGACGAUGGCAAGCCCGUCGACAAGCCACGACCGCGGGGUAAGUUAAGAUGGGGAAGCACUCGAGUCUUAUCCACGCCAUGGUCGUGGACAAGGCGACGAGGCAUGGCCCAUUAAUCGUGAGGGACAAGCCCACCCAAAGCCUCCCCUUCUUUUAACGCAAGAAAGCAUAGCACUUUCACCCACUCCUCGUCCUCAACCUCUGUUGCUAAGAGGACGUAGCGCUCGAUCUUAUUAUCCGUUGUAAGUGGUUGCAUCGACUCUAUUUGUUACAUAAGCCAAUGGUCUCAAUCUUUCACCCACCUAAAAUGAUCAUUUUACCAUUAACAAAAUCAAUAAUUCUACACAUGCUGUCACUUGUUGUAUCUUCAAUCGGUAAAACCGACAAUGUUAAAUUAAAUGAAUGUUUUACUUUCAUAAAUGUAGAGAUGCCAAUGAAAAUUUUUUAAGCAUAGGAAUCGAAAUGCUAAAGAGGUCUAACGAUAAAGGAUAAUUUGUAAUUAGCUCUAGAAAAAAAGGAUACCAAUAGUUUGUUAACCUAUCUUUUCAAUUGACAAUGAAGUGUUAACACUUAACAAUUAUAAUAUCACAACAAAACCCUAUCUAUUUACCUUAAUUUCUUCUUUUAACCAAUUAAUGUUUUGGAAAUUCAGUAUUCAAUAAUCAUGAUCUACAAUCAUAUUAAAUUCUGAACAUCUCUCAAAAAAUAUUUAAUGAUGCAACUUAUCCAGAUUAACAGAAUAAAAAACAACCCACCUCUAAACUAUGUGCUUAGUUUAUACUUGCAAAUAGAAUAGAAAGCUUAUCCAAACUAUUUAAUUUAAUUAGGAAUCAAACACAACCUGAAUUAAUGUUUCCAUGGUUUAGUACAUAUUUUAACAAGAUCUCACUUUAUAUAAGAAAACCUAACAUCGACAAGGAAAAUCAAAUCCACAAAAACUAACAAAAUAAAAAAUUAUAAUAACUAAAUAAAUAAUCCAAUUGAUAUCUAAACAAAUUUUCUUAGUCACAAGAUGGAAGAUACUAUAAAAGAUUGUCCAAUGUAUAAUAACUAAUCUCAAAUGAAUUUCUUUUACAUAAAAAAACAAGGAUGUGUAAAUCUUGAUGGUAUUCCAAUUAGAAUGAUAACAUUCAAAUAAGCAAUCAGACAUAUAAGAGAAAAAUGUAAUACUCAUCAAUAUCCAAAAUGAUGCAAGGGGUCAUCCUAUCGACAUGUCAAGUCUAAUUGCCAAAAUUGGUCACUGCACGGACAACAACACCAUGAACAGCAUCAUUGAAAUUCCGAUGGAACCACAUAAAACCGAACUCUCAGUGUAAACAAAACAAAGAUCAUCGAUGUAACAAAAAUUUUCCAAACAACCAUGCUGAUCCAAUGAUGUGUGCAAACUGAAUACCUAAUCAACUUCUUUAUUAUACGAUCCAAGGUUUUUAAUUUCGUACCAUACCAGUGUAUCGAACUUUGCUCGAUACAGUACGAUACGACGCACCGCUCGGUAUAUGUAUAUUUAUAUACAUAUGUUUAUAUAUAUAUAUGUAUAUCAAAAUAUGUUUAUAUACAUAUGUUUACUCAUAAACAUAUGUAUUUUUAUAUACAUAUGUUUAUGAGUAAUAAUUAUUACAAAAUUUGUUUAUAAAAAUAACCCCUUUCCAUCUCAAGAGACGGAAAGAGGGUGAUGGCGGAGCGGGUGAGGAGGCGACGUGGUGAGGAUGCGACGCGUUGCCUCCAUCCCCAGCUCAAACUCAUCCCUCGUGAGGCACUCCGCAAUGCUCCCGCGGUAGCCAGAUCCGACGGGGAUCCAGUCCAAGGCAAGCUCAUCUCCCGCUCCCUUGCCGCCCUCAGCGAUGAUACAACACUCCGACACAAGUAUUAAAAUUUGUUUGACUACCAAUUGGACUAACAAUUUGUUCAAUCAUUAUAUUUUUUAUUUCUGUUGUUUGGGUUUGAUAUUCUCUAUUGAUGUUGGCCCUUCCUAUAACAUGAGAUCAGAUGAGUUGUAUGUCAAGUCUCUUCAAUUACUGAGGCCAGAGUAAGAUGUUAAAGCUUCAGUUAUUUGAUGUGCAUGUAAGCGAAACAAGAAGGCUAUCAUGUAGUGUUUCUUUAGCCAAGUCUAUGUUUCGUAUCUAAACUAUGAAACAAAAUAUAUACAUAAGAGUUUGACAUAUAAUAUAUGUUAGGAGAAUACAUGCGUCAAUAAUAAGUCCUAGGUACAUACAUAUUGACAAGGA
RNAcentral lists this long non-coding RNA (4367 nucleotides) under Musa acuminata (dwarf banana). RNAcentral describes it as "long non-coding RNA (MACU_LNC002349)". The record is from RNAcentral. Lineage: Eukaryota; Viridiplantae; Streptophyta; Magnoliopsida; Zingiberales; Musaceae.